GAUGAACGCUGGCGGCGUGCCUAAUACAUGCAAGUCGAGCGAACAGACGAGGAGCUUGCUCCUCUGACGUUAGCGGCGGACGGGUGAGUAACACGUGGAUAACCUACCUAUAAGACUGGGAUAACUUCGGGAAACCGGAGCUAAUACCGGAUAAUAUAUUGAACCGCAUGGUUCAAUAGUGAAAGACGGUUUUGCUGUCACUUAUAGAUGGAUCCGCGCCGCAUUAGCUAGUUGGUAAGGUAACGGCUUACCAAGGCAACGAUGCGUAGCCGACCUGAGAGGGUGAUCGGCCACACUGUAUCUGAGACACGGUCCAGACUCCUACGGGAGGCAGCAGUAGGGAAUCUUCCGCAAUGGGCGAAAGCCUGACGGAGCAACGCCGCGUGAGUGAUGAAGGUCUUCGGAUCGUAAAACUCUGUUAUUAGGGAAGAACAAAUGUGUAAGUAACUAUGCACGUCUUGACGGUACCUAAUCAGAAAGCCACGGCUAACUACGUG
This 497-nucleotide ribosomal RNA is filed under the name uncultured bacterium. RNAcentral describes it as "partial 16S ribosomal RNA". It matches the Rfam family "Bacterial small subunit ribosomal RNA", at positions 28 to 507 of the family's 1533-position model. The record is from RNAcentral.